CUACGUGCCAGCAGCCGCGGUAAUACGUAUGUCGCGAGCGUUAUCCGGAAUUAUUGGGCAUAAAGGGCAUCUAGGCGGCCCUGUAAGUCUAGGGUGAAAACCUGCGGCUCAACCGCAGGCCUGCCCCGGAAACUACAGGGCUAGAGUGCUGGAGAGGUGGACGGAACUGCACGAGUAGAGGUGAAAUUCGUAGAUAUGUGCAGGAAUGCCGAUGAUGAAGAUAGUUCACUGGACGGCAACUGACGCUGAAGUGCGAAAGCUAGGGGAGCAAACAGGAUUAGAUACCCUGGUAGUCCUAGCUGUAAACGAUGAUUACUGGGUGUGGGCAUGAAGAGUGUCCGUGCCGAAGCUAAUGCGAUAAGUAAUCCGCCUGGGGAGUACGGCCGCAAGGCUGAAACUCAAAGGAAUUGACGGGGACCCGCACAAGCGGUGGAUGAUGUGGAUUAAUUCGAUGCAACGCGAAGAACCUUACCUGGUCUUGACAU
Molecule: ribosomal RNA, 485 nt
Filed under: uncultured bacterium
Lineage: Bacteria
Description: bacterial SSU rRNA
Rfam family: Bacterial small subunit ribosomal RNA
Source: RNAcentral